This is a long non-coding RNA of Gadus macrocephalus (Pacific cod), 7212 nucleotides long. RefSeq lists it as uncharacterized. The transcript is spliced from 2 exons. The record is from RefSeq and is a predicted model, not a curated record. NCBI's taxonomy places the organism in Eukaryota, Metazoa, Chordata, Actinopteri, Gadiformes, Gadidae.
GCAUAUAUGCCUGUAUUUUGUCAUUGUGAACACUUGGAGGCGGUAGUGUAGCGCAAUUGAAAUCCACGAACAACUGUCCAAUCAGUUUUUUGAAAAAUGAUAAGCUUCAGGCGUGUGGCAUACCAUUUUCAAAGUUCGCAAAUCUGCGAUUGAAAACUUUAUGUAUCUUUAUAAAUGGUAAUCUUCUGAUGGUGCUGCUGUAUGUUAAGGUAGUAUACAGUAGGAUUGUUAGGUUUCAUCGAGACCAGAAGUAACUGUAGCCUCGCCCUAAAAGUAAAACAAGUAGGAUCAGGAUGCUAUAUUUGCUGAGUCAUGGUUAAGAGCUUUUAAAUAAUAAUAAUAAUAAUAGAACAUAAUAAUGUGCAUAUGCAAUCUACAGCGAGCUUCUUAAAGAUGAGUGGUUCCCACUGGAAUUGUAUUAAUUCGACGUGAACCAUGACGAACAAUUACUGAACAUGACAGCUUCUUUCUACAAGAAGAUUGCCGGGUCCGAAAAAAAUAUUCUGCCUUAGAGCAGCUGGUGGGCCUGAUAUUUCGCCAAAACCCUAUCAAAUCAGCGAGACGAGCCUUACCUUAAGUGUAUGAGGUAUGCGCGUUUGCCAGGGUUAUUUAAUUUAACAGUAUCGAUAAAUCAUGGAGGCGUGCGACAUCGUACAGAACUCGCGGUAAACACGCCCGGCCCGGGCCGCCUCUACUGCGCAGGACCAGAUAUGCUGGGGCUUCUGGUACGUGAUGUCCCGUUUCUAAGACGCUCCUUUACUUAACGUUACAUCCACGCCGACGCGAUCCGAAGCCAAUCGGCUGGUCACACCGUGGCGUGGAGUGAGGGAGCGGGUUCUUGGGGCGACACAAAACCCCCUAUCCCUGGUGCCAGGGAGCCGUCUAUCAAGACAGUCUGCAAUACAACAAGCUGACGCUGGUGUGCGCACUGCAGCUUUGACUCCAUUGGACUCUCAUCCACCACAGCACCACAGGCAGAGCGGCGACUACCCUAUUCAGUAGACUACAGCUUUCCCAGUUCCUGUUUCCGCCGCAGCCUUUCCACCCGAAUUUGUACCCAAACAUCUCUGCGUCAGAUUCAACUUCUUCAGCCCCGAUGGAUCGCGCCGAACGCCGCUGCUGCUGUGUGGCAAGGCUGUUCUGAUACGUGAUCCUAUGUCAGCGUUGCCACAGACGCGUAAGUCAAUUGUGUACCCCCCCCCCCCCCCCCAAUAACCAAGCCAGACCAUCUGCUGGUAAUGAUAGUGUCCAAUCCUUAUAAUAACAUUGUUAUACCUCUGUCUCUCUCUGCCUCUGUUCUUAUUGAGCGUGCAUUACCUGCUAGCCCACACGUUAAUUGUUAUGGCAUAAUUGUGGCGUGGGGCUCCUACAUUAAUGUGUGGACUAUAAUUGUUUUCUGUGUCAGCACAGUUGGUCAUGUUUCUGGCGUGUUCAACCAUGGGCAUCCCCUACUGGGUUGGUCACUAUGUCUUAUUUGAUUUAUCACUUCACGGUGCUACAGUGAUCCAUGAUGCACGCUAUUGAUUAGUGACGUUAUGUUGCAGAUAACAAUUAGGAAUUGUGCGUGGUUUAAUAUCGGUUUUGCAGUUAACAAAUUAUUACAAAGCGAUUUCCACAGCAACCAUUCUUAUGUAUACAUUAAUGACAGGUCUAUCGAUCACUUGUUUAUGUUUACAUUUGUUCCCUAUGUUAUUCAUACGUUAUGAUGAUAUGCAUUCUACCUGCUGUCCAUUGACACCCAAUUGGGAGGGGCUUGACAUCUGGCUGCUGACGCCGGGGAAACCCAACACCUAUGGACGCCUAAUGCAUCAUUAAUGUCAUCGAAUAAAAUCCGCCCUUCUAACUGGCUGCCGAUCGAAUGAGUUAGUGGCCCUUAUUCAUCCAUGAAUUAAUAAACAGACACACAUAUCAAGUGCGGCUGAUGGAGAGGCUGGGUUGUAGCCACACAUCAAAAAGUGUCAUUUUUAGCUCUUGGAGGCCAAGGUCCUUUCUGAGGUACCAUCACUAUCAAUUGCCCCUAAUGGUUUAUUUAUUUCAUUUUUUUCCGAUAUAUUUGUUUGUCUGUGAGAGAGCGCUUUAUUCUGAAGUCACAUUGCGCCGUUAAAUUGUCAUCAUCCAAAUUUGGAAGGCACCUGUUAAAUGUAGUGAUGGGGAAUAAAAAUGUCCCGUUAACCAGUGGCUUUCGCUGACUGCUACUGGAAAGUAGGGGAAUUCACGAGGAAAUGUUCACCCAAGUCCACCCUGCUUCACCCAAGCAGAUCUGUCCAUCAUGGUCGCUUUCAUUCUCUCUUUUUUUCUUUCUUUCCCUCUCUGUCUCUUACUUUGUCCUUUGUCCUCUCUCUCUCUCUCGCUCUCGCUCUCGCUCUUGUGCUCUCUCGCGCGCGCUCUCUUGCUCUCCCUCUGUGUGUGUCCACUCUGAAUGCUUUAUAUACAACCCUGUCUGUCAUCAUUUUGGACUAAUGAGUUCAUUAAACAUAUUAGCGGUGCUCUGCCAAUGAGGUUAGAUGCGGUGCGGUGAGCAAUACUAGGGUGGUGACACAUCUCCUUCUUCAGUCUUUUCUUUUUUUCUUUUUUGCAAGCCUGUAUUUAAUGCCGGCACAAAUGUCACAUGUCAGUCUUUGAUUUCAUGUGUUUAAAAUAUUUCUUCAUGAAAAAUUGCAUUUUUGAUUUGUUUUUCUUUGGUUCUCUCCCUCUCUCUCCCUCUCUGUCUCUGUAUCUCUCUCUUUCUCCCUCUCUCUCUGUCUCUGUAUCUCCCUCUCUGUCUCUGUAUCUCUCUCUCUCUCCCUCACUCUCUGUCUCUGCAUCUCCUUCUGUCUCUGUAUCUCUCUCUCUCCCUCCCUCUCUGUCUCUGUAUCUCUCUCUCUCCCUACCUCUCUGUCUCUGUAUCUCCCUCUUUCUCCCUCUCUGUCUCUCUCCCUCUCUGUCUCUGUAUCUCCCUCUCGCCAUCUCUCGGCAGCACUAGCUUGUCACCUGCUCAGCGGCUGCUUCUCUUUGCUUGAAAAGCCAUUCUAAUUUCAAGCAUCACAGUGUGUUGGCACAACCUACACUGUGUUUUGUUUGCCGCUUGCAUAUGUGUGUAUUUCCCGGGUGCACACACGCCUGUGUAUAACGUGUGUGUGUGUGUGUGUGUGUGUGUGUGUGUGUGUGUGUGUGUGUGUGUGUGUGUGUGUGUGUGUGUGUGUGUGUGUGUGUGUGUGUGUGUGUGUGUGUGUGUGUGUGUGUGUGUGUGUGUGUGUGUGUGAAUAGCCUACAUUCUUUUUGGCUCUGCUGUCCCCAGAUAUAUCCUCUUAUGUAUUCCUUUUUUCAAGGACACUCUACAGAUGAAAGGAAACAGUCAAAUAGAAAAUAUGGAUGAACCACAACCACAACCAAUUUCUCCAUAAUGAACGAGUGUCUCCAAUUUUGGAGGCUAACUCCUACAGACACAAAGGCCCUGUGCUUUGUACAGAGGGCAACGCUUGUAGCUAUAGCUUGUGCACCACUAACAACACAUCUAAAGGAAAGGGGCUGGGCUGAGGCUCUGAACCAUUGUUGUGUAGUCUGCAUUGUUGAUCUGGGUGCCAUGUAUAGCUGCAACCUAAGUCCAGUGUACCAUGUUCUCUAAAUAGAGAACGGAGAACACAAAGUGGUGCCGGUUCUCACAAUCAUUUUCUUGUAAAUUUCGGGCUUUGAGGAAGUGACAUUCUCUAAAUAUCCUACCCAAGGAUAGACGCCCGAGUCUGUUUCUUAAAGGAUUUUUGCCUUCACCAACUUGCAGGAGGGAGGCUCCUGAAGCAAGUGAAAGACAUGAUUUAUAGAGUUAGGUCAGUGAACAAUCACUGUGUGUCCUGCGUUGGCAUUUGGCUGGCUUUUCUUUGUCCAGUCUGACAUUUAAUGUCCAAUCCCCGUGCUAGGUUGUCUGCCUAUCAGUCGAUUUUCAAGGUGGGCACAAAUAAUGUAUGCCACAUGCCAUACUCGCUUGUUCUAUAUCUGUUGCAGGCCGGAAGUUCGAGUAGAUUCUUAGAACAAAAAGGUUUCCAUAGUAAAAGCUAUAAUUUUAGUGUCAUUCGUUUGAACAGCAUGGCCAUCCAUCAGCUAUUAGUGAGUCAAAUGCGCUGUCAGUAUUCCUGUUUUGAGUGGAUGGGGCCUGCCUCUAUAAGAGACUAUUUCGAUUUUAGACCGCUCCCGGCUGAUUACUGACCAAUCAGGGCAUCUUCUCCCUGAUUGGUUCAGGGAAUCCAUCUUGCCUGUCACAGGUGCCUGAAUGCAACACGUAUCAUUGGCUGAGAAACAUACUAAGUGAGGGAGUAGAGAGGAAGGUACUUUUGUCAUUCAAAAUCUUUUAAUGGUUGAAGUGGAUUAAGUUAAAGAAAAGUCCUAUCAAUCCAGUCCUUUUGCAAGAAAGAAGAAACUUUUCAGGGAGGGAAAGGGGACUUGAGAUGUUGAUCAACGUAUUUAGAUACUUUUGAUAGAAUAAUACAUUUAUGUUUGGAUGCUGAAAUUAGCUAAUUAGAAUUCAAAGUGACUAUAUCCCAGUGGGCUUCAUCCACGUGUCCCAUCUUCCCACAUUUAUAAUGAGAUAUCUGGGUAUUAAGGGAGGUGUGCCUGCCACACAUUAUUCACUUGAACUGCUUUAGGUUUUUUUAUGAGUGGGAAGUUCUUUCUUCAUUCAAUGAAUACAGUCAGGGAGUAGGGAGGAGAAGCCCUGAUGGGAUUAGUUUGCUGCGUUUUUUUUCUAUUUUCUUUCGGGUGCAUAGGCGGGGGACUUAAUAAAUUAUGAAAAUACAUUUUGAGAAAGCUCUGAUCUCAGCCGUUACACUCUAUAGAUACUGACUUUAUCUUCAUAAGGAACUGUCCCAACUCAAUUUCCCGAGUGUUCCUGGCAGACCACAGGUUGAUAUUGUCUGGUCCUUUUUGGCAGUCAGCAGAAAUACCGGUUUCAUCUGGCUUGAUUAUUACUCCGAAAUACAAAAGGUGAGAAAAAUGGAUGGCUUGUAGAGCUUAAUCAACAAAAGGUAAUGCUUUGUUUCUGCAUUCUUAAUGCGUCAGCGUAAUAUCAACAAAACAAUCGGUGUUAAGAUGAACGAUGGUACACCGAGAUCGAAGGAACCAUGCUGUGUUUGUUGUAUAUAAAUGCUGUGAGCUUCAGUCAUGAUAGUGAAAGUAAUAAAUAACUGCAUAAUUAUAACACUAAUAAAGCAAUAAAAAUCAGAGCUAUCGUGAUGGAUCGCUUAUAGAGAACAGAAACAAAAUGAUUAACCCUUUCCAUUCUGUCAUUUCGGGAUGGACACUUGGAAGUGGCCUCCUCUGUCCCCAUUUACAGCGGCAACCAUUUUAAACCGCCCAUUUCUGGGGCAUAAUCUGCUCUCAGCCCAGAUAUCCAGGGACCCAAAGUGGUCUCCGACUGGCCCCUCAGGCUUCAGUCAAACAUAUCUCCAGCUUGGCCAGACCGCGUCUGGGAUGUAGCGUGCUGGAUUAGACCAAUAUAGAGAACCAAGCCGUUGCUGCUCUUUUACUUUGCCCACACACUGAGGAAGCGGCAGGGCUGAUAAGAGGGAAACGCUGCAGGUCUGGUUGGAGAGUGAGGAACAGGUGAGGCAGAGUUCUUCUCUUCCCGUGACUCUUAAGUCUGGGAUAUGGCGAAUAGUACACUAUCGACUUCCCUUUGAUGGCCUUUUUUCUUUCUUCUACUUGAUGGUGGACUACACACCCAAAAAGGACUUCAACUUGAAAUCUCCUGUCCCUCCUUAGACCUGUAACACAACCCACCCAAAACCGGUUUGAGCAAGCGGAGACAAAUGAGGUCAAACACCUCUCCCCACACCUUUUGUGGUCCGGCCAGGGAUAAAGCCUUAAAGAUUCCCCAUAUGGACAGCCAUCAUCUCUAAUGUCGGAUUCCAAAUCGUAGACCCUCCUUCCGGCCUCAAUUAAGUAUGUCCCUCGUGCCGCCUCAGUGGGGACAAGAUUGUGUGGAAAGUGAAACUCGGCUCCAACCCCCCAAUUCCCCAUCAGCUGCAGGAUUUCUCAGAGUGGCAGUGUUGGCAUUCACCUACAGCAAACCCCCCACGGUGUUCCCAGCAAGGGACGGGCUCUCUGAUUCUAUCUUAGCCAUCCCCUCUCCCUAGUGGUGCUGCCAUUUAGAGUUGGGCAGUAAUGCCAAAAUCAAAUAGCACAAUCUUUUUGGACCGCAUCAAUGGGAAACACAGUGCUACGAUUUCUGUGAGUGUAUGUAUUGGCCUUGGAUGAGCAAAUUAUUGUAUUUGCCCCAGACUCAACGGUAUCUACUCUCAUCGGGUUGGCAACGAAUUCUUGCAUCUCUAGCAACCAACCCCUGGCUCGGGGGUCUAUUUCAGGGUCCAUGUUGGCAAUCCAAUCCAGGGAAACCAGCCUGUGGUUCUUUCUUUUUUUCUUUUUUUUUUGCCUUAAACGAUAACAACAUGCUGGUCGGAUGUAUACGUCUCUAGGACCCUACCGGACCACGCAGCAGUCCCAAGACCCUUCCUAAAGCAGGAGCUGGGAGAGAUUGAAGAUUCUAAUGGUGGGAGGAGAAAGAGAGGGAGAAAAGGGAAGGAGAGAGGGUGAGAGAAGCUGGAGCAAGAUAGACUUGGAGAGUAAGCCCUCCACAUGUUGGAGAUACCGGAAUCCUUCCCCCAGAGGAAACGGCACAGAGAAGAAAAUGCCGAGCACCAGCGGGUAGGAUGAAGGUAGAUUAUGCCGGCGGGAUAUCUUGUCUGUCCGUGUCGGCAUCUCAGGGCUUGAGUGUGGAGUGUGGAAGUCGAUGACCCUAAGGCUAGAAAUCUCCCUUGUUUUCACAAUCGUGGUUUCCUAGAAUUGCCAACAACCUUUUGAAUAUAAUUUGUAGCUGCGAAUAUGCUACAAUAAAAAAUAAGGGGAAAAAAAACGGAUUUAAAUUUGAAUGUGACGGAAGCACCAAAUGCGUGGUCCAAGGCUCCUUGUGGAGACAAUGCACUCACUUAGAGCAGCGAGGAGCUUACCGCUUUGCUCCCUCUCUGCUGAUUAGAGAAGUCAAAAGAAUAUGAUUAAGGAGACGCUGUGAUUUGCUGUCUUGGCGUCCGACAAGAGACAGGGACUAAGGCAGUUGCGUGUAGGAACCUUUUAACACAACAAAUAGCUAUUUUCAUUUCGGAAAGUGAAAGAUUUGGGACAGUGAUGUCUUAAAUGCAUUUUGGUAUGGAUUGCCAAGUAAAAUAAUUAAACACUGAAUUAAUUUGA